CUAAUUUUCUUCUUUUCUUUCUCAAACAAAUUGAUAUCUCGUUAUGGGAUUGGCACCUCCACCUUCAACACCGGUAUCUCUCAUCUUCAACAAGAACAAGUAAUGGCAAUGAUUGUGAGAUGCAAAAGGAACUUUGAAAGGGGUAUUAGUAGCUGUGAUUCAAGCGGAGUCUUGGAACCACAAUUAGCCUCUACGAGAGAGGAUUGAUGACCGCAAGGUGAUGGAGUUCCAGAUUUCAUUAGUUCACCUGCUUCAACCAAAGAAGUCAGCAUCAUGGACCAAACCUUAUCAGAUCAGUGUAUCAUAUCUGGGAUCUAGGACAUCAAUGACCACCAUAAUUGGGGGUAUAGACAUUGGAAAGAUGUAGAUGAAAGUAUGGAGUUAUGUAAACUAGUACAUUAUCAAACUCUGGAACUAUUUUGCCCAUCAUAUUUUUAAGGAUUUGAUUGCAGAAAUCAUGUCCGACAUAUAGUGCCAUAUUUGGAGGUACAGGGAUGGGAAGUAAUAGUCUUUUGGAGUGUAAUUGCAUGAAUGUAUGAACAGAUGGAUUCGUAAAUGUAUAAACCAAAUUUUA
Long non-coding RNA from Elaeis guineensis (African oil palm), 574 nucleotides. RefSeq annotates it as putative disease resistance protein RGA3. NCBI's taxonomy places the organism in Eukaryota, Viridiplantae, Streptophyta, Magnoliopsida, Arecales, Arecaceae. The record is from RefSeq and is a predicted model, not a curated record.